Non-coding RNA from Oryza meridionalis, 193 nucleotides. NCBI's taxonomy places the organism in Eukaryota, Viridiplantae, Streptophyta, Magnoliopsida, Poales, Poaceae. The record is from Rfam.
UCCUAUCGUAGUCAUGAGUUUUCGUGUCUAAUUUCGAUUGUCCAUCUUAUUUAAUUUUUUUAUGAUUAAUAUUUUUUUAUUAAGUGAUAAAAUAUAAAUAGUAUUUUAUAUGUGACUAAUUAUUUUAACUUUUUUAUAAAUUUUUCAAAUAAGUUGGACGGUCAAACGUUGGACAUAGGAACUUGCAAUUGAA